RNAcentral lists this ribosomal RNA (497 nucleotides) under uncultured bacterium. RNAcentral describes it as "partial 16S ribosomal RNA". It matches the Rfam family "Bacterial small subunit ribosomal RNA", at positions 28 to 507 of the family's 1533-position model. The record is from RNAcentral.
GAUGAACGCUGGCGGCGUGCCUAAUACAUGCAAGUCGAGCGAACGGACGAGAAGCUUGCUUCUCUGAUGUUAGCGGCGGACGGGUGAGUAACACGUGGAUAACCUACCUAUAAGACUGGGAUAACUUCGGGAAACCGGAGCUAAUACCGGAUAAUAUUUUGAACCGCAUGGUUCAAAAGUGAAAGACGGUUUUGCUGUCACUUAUAGAUGGAUCCGCGCUGCAUUAGCUAGUUGGUAAGGUAACGGCUUACCAAGGCAACGAUGCAUAGCCGACCUGAGAGGGUGAUCGGCCACACUGGAACUGAGACACGGUCCAGACUCCUACGGGAGGCAGCAGUAGGGAAUCUUCCGCAAUGGGCGAAAGCCUGACGGAGCAACGCCGCGUGAGUGAUGAAGGUCUUCGGAUCGUAAAACUCUGUUAUUAGGGAAGAACAUAUGUGUAAGUAACUGUGCACGUCUUGACGGUACCUAAUCAGAAAGCCACGGCUAACUACGUG